Molecule: ribosomal RNA, 2889 nt
Filed under: Klebsiella aerogenes
Lineage: Bacteria; Pseudomonadati; Pseudomonadota; Gammaproteobacteria; Enterobacterales; Enterobacteriaceae
Description: bacterial LSU rRNA
Rfam family: Bacterial large subunit ribosomal RNA
Source: RNAcentral
ACUAAGCGUACACGGUGGAUGCCCUGGCAGUCAGAGGCGAUGAAGGACGUGCUAAUCUGCGAAAAGCGUCGGUAAGGUGAUAUGAACCGUUACAGCCGGCGAUGUCCGAAUGGGGAAACCCAGUGCAAUUCGUUGCACUAUCGUUAACUGAAUACAUAGGUUAACGAGGCGAACCGGGGAACUGAAACAUCUAAGUACCCCGAGGAAAAGAAAUCAACCGAGAUUCCCCAGUAGCGGCGAGCGAACGGGGAGCAGCCCAGAGUCUGAAUCAGCUUGUGUGUUAGUGGAACGGUCUGGAAAGUCCGACGGUACAGGGUGAUAGUCCCGUACACCAAAAUGCACAGGUUGUGAACUCGAAGAGUAGGGCGGGACACGUGGUAUCCUGUCUGAAUNNGGGGGACCAUCCUCCAAGGCUAAAUACUCCUGACUGACCGAUAGUGAACCAGUACCGUGAGGGAAAGGCGAAAAGAACCCCGGCGAGGGGAGUGAAAAAGAACCUGAAACCGUGUACGUACAAGCAGUGGGAGCACCCUUUAGGGUGUGACUGCGUACCUUUUGUAUAAUGGGUCAGCGACUUAUAUUCUGUAGCAAGGUUAACCGUAUAGGGGAGCCGCAGGGAAACCGAGUCUUAACUGGGCGUUAAGUUGCAGGGUAUAGACCCGAAACCCGGUGAUCUAGCCAUGGGCAGGUUGAAGGUUGGGUAACACUAACUGGAGGACCGAACCGACUAAUGUUGAAAAAUUAGCGGAUGACUUGUGGCUGGGGGUGAAAGGCCAAUCAAACCGGGAGAUAGCUGGUUCUCCCCGAAAGCUAUUUAGGUAGCGCCUCGUGAACUCAUCUUCGGGNNNNNNNNNNNNNNNNNNNNGGGGUCAUCCCGACUUACCAACCCGAUGCAAACUACGAAUACCGAAGAAUGUUAUCACGGGAGACACACGGCGGGUGCUAACGUCCGUCGUGAAGAGGGAAACAACCCAGACCGCCAGCUAAGGUCCCAAAGUCACAGUUAAGUGGGAAACGAUGUGGGAAGGCACAGACAGCCAGGAUGUUGGCUUAGAAGCAGCCAUCAUUUAAAGAAAGCGUAAUAGCUCACUGGUCGAGUCGGCCUGCGCGGAAGAUGUAACGGGGCUAAACUGUGCACCGAAGCUGCGGCAGCGACACUAUGUGUUGUUGGGUAGGGGAGCGUUCUGUAAGCCUGCGAAGGUGGCCUGUGAGGGUUGCUGGAGGUAUCAGAAGUGCGAAUGCUGACAUAAGUAACGAUAAUGCGGGUGAAAAGCCCGCACGCCGGAAGACCAAGGGUUCCUGUCCAACGUUAAUCGGGGCAGGGUGAGUCGACCCCUAAGGCGAGGCCGAAAGGCGUAGUCGAUGGGAAACAGGUUAAUAUUCCUGUACUUGGUGUUACUGCGAAGGGGGACGGAGAAGGCUAUGUUAGCCGGGCGACGGUUGUCCCGGUUUAAGCAUGUAGGCGGAGGUUCCAGGUAAAUCCGGUACCUUUUUAACGCUGAGGUGUGAUGACGAGGCACUACGGUGCUGAAGUAACAAAUGCCCUGCUUCCAGGAAAAGCCUCUAAGCAUCAGGUAACAUUAAAUCGUACCCCAAACCGACACAGGUGGUCAGGUAGAGAAUACCAAGGCGCUUGAGAGAACUCGGGUGAAGGAACUAGGCAAAAUGGUGCCGUAACUUCGGGAGAAGGCACGCUGAUAUGUAGGUGAAGUCCCUGCGGAUGGAGCUGAAAUCAGUCGAAGAUACCAGCUGGCUGCAACUGUUUAUUAAAAACACAGCACUGUGCAAACACGAAAGUGGACGUAUACGGUGUGACGCCUGCCCGGUGCCGGAAGGUUAAUUGAUGGGGUUAUCCGUAAGGAGAAGCUCUUGAUCGAAGCCCCGGUAAACGGCGGCCGUAACUAUAACGGUCCUAAGGUAGCGAAAUUCCUUGUCGGGUAAGUUCCGACCUGCACGAAUGGCGUAAUGAUGGCCAGGCUGUCUCCACCCGAGACUCAGUGAAAUUGAACUCGCUGUGAAGAUGCAGUGUACCCGCGGCAAGACGGAAAGACCCCGUGAACCUUUACUAUAGCUUGACACUGAACAUUGAGCCUUGAUGUGUAGGAUAGGUGGGAGGCUUUGAAGCGUGGACGCCAGUCUGCGUGGAGCCAACCUUGAAAUACCACCCUUUAAUGUUUGAUGUUCUAACGUUGGCCCCUGAUCGGGGUUGCGGACAGUGUCUGGUGGGUAGUUUGACUGGGGCGGUCUCCUCCCAAAGAGUAACGGAGGAGCACGAAGGUUAGCUAAUCCUGGUCGGACAUCAGGAGGUUAGUGCAAUGGCAUAAGCUAGCUUGACUGCGAGCGUGACGGCGCGAGCAGGUGCGAAAGCAGGUCAUAGUGAUCCGGUGGUUCUGAAUGGAAGGGCCAUCGCUCAACGGAUAAAAGGUACUCCGGGGAUAACAGGCUGAUACCGCCCAAGAGUUCAUAUCGACGGCGGUGUUUGGCACCUCGAUGUCGGCUCAUCACAUCCUGGGGCUGAAGUAGGUCCCAAGGGUAUGGCUGUUCGCCAUUUAAAGUGGUACGCGAGCUGGGUUUAGAACGUCGUGAGACAGUUCGGUCCCUAUCUGCCGUGGGCGCUGGAGAAUUGAGGGGGCUGCUCCUAGUACGAGAGGACCGGAGUGGACGCAUCACUGGUGUUCGGGUUGUCAUGCCAAUGGCAUUGCCCGGUAGCUAAAUGCGGAAGAGAUAAGUGCUGAAAGCAUCUAAGCACGAAACUUGCCCCGAGAUGAGUUCUCCCUGACUCCUUGAGAGUCCUGAAGGAACGUUAAAGACGAUGACGUUGAUAGGUCGGGUGUGUAAGCGUAGCGAUACGUUGAGCUAACCGAUACUAAUGAACCGUGAGGCUUAACC